GCAUAACGCGAAGAACCUUACCAAGGCUUGACAUCUAAAGAAUCUAAUAGAGAUAUUGGAGUGCCCCGAAAGGGGAGCUUUAAGACAGGUGGUGCAUGGUUGUCGUCAGCUCGUGUCGUGAGAUGUUAGGUUAAGUCCUGCAACGAGCGCAACCCCUGCCUUUAGUUGCUAACAUUAAGUUGAGCACUCUAAAGGAACUGCUAAGGUUAACUUAGAGGAAGGUGGGGAUGACGUCAAAUCAUCAUGCCCCUUAUGUCUAGGGCCACACACGUGCUACAAUGGUGAGUACAACGAGAUGCGAACCCGCGAGGGGGAGCUAAACUCAAAAAGCCAUUCUCAGUUCGGAUUGGAGUCUGCAACUCGACUCCAUGAAGUCGGAAUCGCUAGUAAUUGCGAAUUAGCACGUCGCAGUGAAUGCGUUCCCGGGUCUUGUACACAC
This 439-nucleotide ribosomal RNA is filed under the name uncultured bacterium. RNAcentral's name for it is "bacterial SSU rRNA". It matches the Rfam family "Bacterial small subunit ribosomal RNA", at positions 954 to 1390 of the family's 1533-position model. The record is from RNAcentral.